UGGGGAAUUUUGGACAAUGGGGGAAACCCUGAUCCAGCGAUACCGCGUGUAGGAAGAAGGCUUUCGGGUUGUAAACUACUGUCAUAGGGGACGAAGAUUUAAGUGUGAAUAACAUUUAGGUUUGACGGUACCCUAGAAGGAAGCAUCGGCUAACUCCGUGCCAGCAGCCGCGGUAAUACGGAGGAUGCAAGCGUUGUUCGGAUUUACUGGGCGUAAAGUGUGUCUAGGUGGGAUUGUGUGUCGGGUGUGAAAGCCUCAGGCUUAACCUGAGAAUAGCGCCCGAAACUGCAGUCCUUGAGUUAUGGAGAGGUGAGCGGAAUUUCUAGUGUAGCAGUGAAAUGCGUAGAUACUAGAAAGAACACCAGAAGCGAAGGCGGCUCACUGGCCAUUUACUGACACUAAAGCACGAAAGCGUGGGUAGCAAACAGG
RNAcentral lists this ribosomal RNA (429 nucleotides) under uncultured bacterium. RNAcentral describes it as "bacterial SSU rRNA". It matches the Rfam family "Bacterial small subunit ribosomal RNA", at positions 355 to 776 of the family's 1533-position model. The record is from RNAcentral.